UACGUAGGGUGCGAGCGUUAAUCGGAAUUACUGGGCGUAAAGUGUGCGCAGGCGGCCGAGCAAGUCGAGUGUGAAAGCCCCGGGCUCAACCUGGGAAUGGCAAUGGAAACUGGCGGGCUAGAGUGUGGCAGAGGGGGGUGGAAUUCCGCGUGUAGCAGUGAAAUGCGUAGAGAUGCGGAGGAACACCGAUGGCGAAGGCAGCCCCCUGGGCUAGCACUGACGCUCAGGCACGAAAGCGUGGGGAGCAAACAGG
RNAcentral lists this ribosomal RNA (253 nucleotides) under uncultured bacterium. Its description in RNAcentral is "partial 16S ribosomal RNA". It matches the Rfam family "Bacterial small subunit ribosomal RNA", at positions 524 to 776 of the family's 1533-position model. The record is from RNAcentral.